GACGAACGCUGGCGGCGUGCUUAACACAUGCAAGUCGAGCGGUAAGGCCCUUUCGGGGGUACACGAGCGGCGAACGGGUGAGUAACACGUGGGUGACCUGCCCUCAGCUCUGGGAUAAGCCCGGGAAACUGGGUCUAAUACCGGAUAUGACUCCACGGUGCAUGUCGUGGGGUGGAAAGCCUUGUGCGGCUGAGGAUGGGCCCGCGGCCUAUCAGCUUGUUGGUGGGGUGAUGGCCACCAAGGCGACGACGGGUAGCCGG
This 260-nucleotide ribosomal RNA is filed under the name uncultured bacterium. RNAcentral's name for it is "partial 16S ribosomal RNA". It matches the Rfam family "Bacterial small subunit ribosomal RNA", at positions 28 to 290 of the family's 1533-position model. The record is from RNAcentral.